GGAGAUGUACCGAAGUGGUUGUAACGGGUCUGAUUCGAAAUCAGUUUGUCGUUAAUAGCGGCACGUGGGUUCGAAUCCCACCAUCUCCG
RNAcentral lists this transfer RNA (89 nucleotides) under Tyzzerella sp. An114. It matches the Rfam family "tRNA". From Rfam's summary of the family: Transfer RNA (tRNA) molecules are approximately 80 nucleotides in length. Their secondary structure includes four short double-helical elements and three loops (D, anti-codon, and T loops). Further hydrogen bonds mediate the characteristic L-shaped molecular structure. tRNAs have two regions of fundamental functional importance: the anti-codon, which is responsible for specific mRNA codon recognition, and the 3' end, to which the tRNAs corresponding amino acid is attached (by aminoacyl-tRNA synthetases). tRNAs cope with the degeneracy of the genetic code in two manners: having more than one tRNA (with a specific anti-codon) for a particular amino acid; and 'wobble' base-pairing, i.e. permitting non-standard base-pairing at the 3rd anti-codon position. The record is from Rfam by way of RNAcentral. Lineage: Bacteria; Bacillati; Bacillota; Clostridia; Lachnospirales; Lachnospiraceae.